GGAGCUCUCCNNUAUGGUCGACCUGCAGGCGGCCGCGAAUUCACUAGUGAUUAGAGUUUGAUCCUGGCUCAGAUUGAACGCUGGCGGCGUGCUUAACACAUGCAAGUCGAACGUGAAAGUCCUUCGGGGCGAGUAAAGUGGCGCACGGGUGAGUAACGCGUGGAUAAUCUACCCUUAAGAUGGGGAUAACGGCUGGAAACGGUCGCUAAUACCGAAUACGCUCCCGAUUUUAUCGUUGGGGGGAAAGAUGGCCUCUGCUUGCAAGCUAUCGCUUAAGGAUGAGUCCGCGUCCCAUUAGCUAGUUGGCGGGGUAACGGCCCACCAAGGCAACGAUGGGUAGCCGGUCUGAGAGGAUGACCGGCCACACUGGAACUGGAACACGGUCCAGACUCCUACGGGAGGCAGCAGUGGGGAAUAUUGCGCAAUGGGCGAAAGCCUGACGCGGCGACGCCGCGUGAGGGAUGAAGGUUCUCGGAUCGUAAACCUCUGUCAGGGGGGAAGAAACCCCCUCGUGUGAAUAAUGCGAGGGCUUGACGGUACCCCCAAAGGAAGCACCGGCUAACUCCGUGCCAGCAGCCGCGGUAAUACGGAGGGUGCAAGCGUUAAUCGGAAUCACUGGGCGUAAAGCGCACGUAGGCGGCUUGGUAAGUCAGGGGUGAAAUCCCACAGCCCAACUGUGGAACUGCCUUUGAUACUGCCAGGCUUGAGUACCGGAGAGGGUGGCGGAAUUCCAGGUGUAGGAGUGAAAUCCGUAGAUAUCUGGAGGAACACCGGUGGCGAAGGCGGCCACCUGGACGGUAACUGACGCUGANGUGCGAAAGCGUGGGUAGCAAACAGGAUUAGAUACCCUGGUAGUCCACGCUGUAAACGAUGGGUGCUGGGUGCUGGGAUGUAUGUCUCGGUGCCGUANCUAACGCGAUAAGCACCCCGCCUGGGGNAGUACGGUCGCAAGGCUGAAACUCNNA
Molecule: ribosomal RNA, 965 nt
Filed under: uncultured Bilophila sp.
Lineage: Bacteria; Pseudomonadati; Thermodesulfobacteriota; Desulfovibrionia; Desulfovibrionales; Desulfovibrionaceae
Description: bacterial SSU rRNA
Rfam family: Bacterial small subunit ribosomal RNA
Source: RNAcentral